AGUGAACGCUGGCGGUAGACCUAACACAUGCAAGUCGAACGGCAGCACAGAGGAGCUUGCUCCUUGGGUGGCGAGUGGCGGACGGGUGAGGAAUACAUCGGAAUCUACUCUGUCGUGGGGGAUAACGUAGGGAAACUUACGCUAAUACCGCAUACGACCUACGGGUGAAAGCAGGGGAUCUUCGGACCUUGCGCGAUUGAAUGAGCCGAUGUCGGAUUAGCUAGUUGGCGGGGUAAAGGCCCACCAAGGCGACGAUCCGUAGCUGGUCUGGGAGGAUGAUCAGCCACACUGGAACUGAGACACGGUCCAGACUCCUACGGGAGGCAGCAGUGGGGAAUAUUGGACAAUGGGCGCAAGCCUGAUCCAGCCAUACCGCGUGGGUGAAGAAGGCCUUCGGGUUGUAAAGCCCUUUUGUUGGGAAAGAAAUCCAUCUGGUUAAUACCCGGGAGGGAUGACGGUACCCAAAGAAUAAGCACCGGCUAACUUCGUGCCAGCCGCCGCUGUAA
This 506-nucleotide ribosomal RNA is filed under the name uncultured bacterium. Its description in RNAcentral is "partial 16S ribosomal RNA". It matches the Rfam family "Bacterial small subunit ribosomal RNA", at positions 29 to 523 of the family's 1533-position model. The record is from RNAcentral.